RNAcentral lists this transfer RNA (55 nucleotides) under Gammaproteobacteria bacterium. Its description in RNAcentral is "tRNA-Met". It matches the Rfam family "tRNA", at positions 8 to 59 of the family's 71-position model. From Rfam's summary of the family: Transfer RNA (tRNA) molecules are approximately 80 nucleotides in length. Their secondary structure includes four short double-helical elements and three loops (D, anti-codon, and T loops). The record is from RNAcentral. Lineage: Bacteria; Pseudomonadati; Pseudomonadota; Gammaproteobacteria.
UAGCUCAGUUGGUUAGAGCAGUGGACUCAUAAUCCAUUGGUCCCAGGUUCGAGUC